GGCUGCUCUGAAGGUAGUGAGUUAUCUGAGUUGGUUGUUCAGUCACUUGCAGAUCAAAUUCCUUGUUCUACUCUUUACCCCUUUCUCACUGCUGCACUUGACUAUUCGAAA
RNAcentral lists this Y RNA (111 nucleotides) under Mandrillus leucophaeus (drill). Its description in RNAcentral is "Y RNA (ENSMLEG00000000668.1)". It matches the Rfam family "Y RNA". Rfam says of the family: Y RNAs are components of the Ro ribonucleoprotein particle (Ro RNP), in association with Ro60 and La proteins. The Y RNAs and Ro60 and La proteins are well conserved, but the function of the Ro RNP is not known. Lineage: Eukaryota; Metazoa; Chordata; Mammalia; Primates; Cercopithecidae. The record is from Rfam by way of RNAcentral.